Molecule: ribosomal RNA, 429 nt
Filed under: Actinomycetes bacterium
Lineage: Bacteria; Bacillati; Actinomycetota; Actinomycetes
Description: Actinobacteria bacterium partial 16S ribosomal RNA
Rfam family: Bacterial small subunit ribosomal RNA
Source: RNAcentral
UAGGGAAUCUUCCGCAAUGGGCGAAAGCCUGACGGAGCAACGCCGCGUGAGUGAUGAAGGUCUUCGGAUCGUAAAACUCUGUUAUUAGGGAAGAACAAAUGUGUAAGUAAGUAUGCACGUCUUGACGGUACCUAAUCAGAAAGCCACGGCUAACUACGUGCCAGCAGCCGCGGUAAUACGUAGGUGGCAAGCGUUAUCCGGAAUUAUUGGGCGUAAAGCGCGCGUAGGCGGUUUUUUAAGUCUGAUGUGAAAGCCCACGGCUCAACCGUGGAGGGUCAUUGGAAACUGGAAAACUUGAGUGCCGAAGAGGAAAGUGGAAUUCCAUGUGUAGCGGUGAAAUGCGCAGAGAUAUGGAGGAACACCAGUGGCGAUGGCGACUUUCUGGACUGUAACUGACGCUGAUGUGCGAAAGCGUGGGGAUCAAACAGG